This 1549-nucleotide ribosomal RNA is filed under the name Alcaligenes phenolicus. RNAcentral's name for it is "bacterial SSU rRNA". It matches the Rfam family "Bacterial small subunit ribosomal RNA". Lineage: Bacteria; Pseudomonadati; Pseudomonadota; Betaproteobacteria; Burkholderiales; Alcaligenaceae. The record is from RNAcentral.
AUUGAACGCUAGCGGGAUGCUUUACACAUGCAAGUCGAACGGCAGCGCGAGAGAGCUUGCUCUCUUGGCGGCGAGUGGCGGACGGGUGAGUAAUAUAUCGGAACGUGCCCAGUAGCGGGGGAUAACUACUCGAAAGAGUGGCUAAUACCGCAUACGCCCUACGGGGGAAAGGGGGGGAUCGCAAGACCUCUCACUAUUGGAGCGGCCGAUAUCGGAUUAGCUAGUUGGUGGGGUAAAGGCUCACCAAGGCAACGAUCCGUAGCUGGUUUGAGAGGACGACCAGCCACACUGGGACUGAGACACGGCCCAGACUCCUACGGGAGGCAGCAGUGGGGAAUUUUGGACAAUGGGGGAAACCCUGAUCCAGCCAUCCCGCGUGUAUGAUGAAGGCCUUCGGGUUGUAAAGUACUUUUGGCAGAGAAGAAAAGGUACCUCCUAAUACGAGGUACUGCUGACGGUAUCUGCAGAAUAAGCACCGGCUAACUACGUGCCAGCAGCCGCGGUAAUACGUAGGGUGCAAGCGUUAAUCGGAAUUACUGGGCGUAAAGCGUGUGUAGGCGGUUCGGAAAGAAAGAUGUGAAAUCCCAGGGCUCAACCUUGGAACUGCAUUUUUAACUGCCGAGCUAGAGUAUGUCAGAGGGGGGUAGAAUUCCACGUGUAGCAGUGAAAUGCGUAGAUAUGUGGAGGAAUACCGAUGGCGAAGGCAGCCCCCUGGGAUAAUACUGACGCUCAGACACGAAAGCGUGGGGAGCAAACAGGAUUAGAUACCCUGGUAGUCCACGCCCUAAACGAUGUCAACUAGCUGUUGGGGCCGUUAGGCCUUAGUAGCGCAGCUAACGCGUGAAGUUGACCGCCUGGGGAGUACGGUCGCAAGAUUAAAACUCAAAGGAAUUGACGGGGACCCGCACAAGCGGUGGAUGAUGUGGAUUAAUUCGAUGCAACGCGAAAAACCUUACCUACCCUUGACAUGUCUGGAAAGCCGAAGAGAUUUGGCCGUGCUCGCAAGAGAACCGGAACACAGGUGCUGCAUGGCUGUCGUCAGCUCGUGUCGUGAGAUGUUGGGUUAAGUCCCGCAACGAGCGCAACCCUUGUCAUUAGUUGCUACGCAAGAGCACUCUAAUGAGACUGCCGGUGACAAACCGGAGGAAGGUGGGGAUGACGUCAAGUCCUCAUGGCCCUUAUGGGUAGGGCUUCACACGUCAUACAAUGGUCGGGACAGAGGGUCGCCAACCCGCGAGGGGGAGCCAAUCUCAGAAACCCGAUCGUAGUCCGGAUCGCAGUCUGCAACUCGACUGCGUGAAGUCGGAAUCGCUAGUAAUCGCGGAUCAGAAUGUCGCGGUGAAUACGUUCCCGGGUCUUGUACACACCGCCCGUCACACCAUGGGAGUGGGUUUCACCAGAAGUAGGUAGCCUAACCGUAAGGAGGGCGCUUACCACGGUGGGAUUCAUGACUGGGGUGAAGUCUAAAAGGGGAAACCGGAGAGGUCGGAUCCGGGCUCAGUAAGUGGUAACAAGGUAACCGUAGAGGGGGAGCCAUGGCUCAGUAAGC